GGCGAGAUGGCCGAGCGGUCUAAGGCGCCAGACUAAGGAUCUGGUCCGAAAGGGCGUGGGUUCGAAUCCCACUCUCGUCA
Molecule: transfer RNA, 80 nt
Organism: Phanerochaete carnosa HHB-10118-sp
Lineage: Eukaryota; Fungi; Basidiomycota; Agaricomycetes; Polyporales; Phanerochaetaceae
Rfam family: tRNA
About the family: Transfer RNA (tRNA) molecules are approximately 80 nucleotides in length. Their secondary structure includes four short double-helical elements and three loops (D, anti-codon, and T loops).
Source: Rfam